GACGAACGCUGGCGGCGUGCCUAAUACAUGCAAGUAGAACGCACAGUUUAUACCGUAGCUUGCUACACCAUAAACUGUGAGUUGCGAACGGGUGAGUAACGCGUAGGUAACCUGCCUGGUAGCGGGGGAUAACUAUUGGAAACGAUAGCUAAUACCGCAUAAUAUUGAUUAUUGCAUGAUAAUUGAUUGAAAGAUGCUAUUGCAUCACUACCAGAUGGACCUGCGUUGGAUUAGCUAGUAGGUGAGGUAACGGCUCACCUAGGCGACGAUACAUAGCCGACCUGGGAGGGUGAUCGGCCACACUGGGACUGAGACACGGCCCAGACUCCUACGGGAGGCAGCAGUAGGGAAUCUUCGGCAAUGGACGAAAGUCUGACCGAGCAACGCCGCGUGAGUGAAGAAGGUUCUCGGAUCGUAAAGCUCUGUUGUAAGAGAAGAACGGGUGUGAGAGUGGAAAGUUCACACUGUGACGGUAUCUUAACAGAAAGGGACGGCUAACUACGUG
RNAcentral lists this ribosomal RNA (505 nucleotides) under uncultured bacterium. RNAcentral's name for it is "partial 16S ribosomal RNA". It matches the Rfam family "Bacterial small subunit ribosomal RNA", at positions 28 to 507 of the family's 1533-position model. The record is from RNAcentral.